This 468-nucleotide ribosomal RNA is filed under the name uncultured bacterium. RNAcentral describes it as "partial 16S ribosomal RNA". It matches the Rfam family "Bacterial small subunit ribosomal RNA", at positions 28 to 507 of the family's 1533-position model. The record is from RNAcentral.
GACGAACGCUGGCGGCGUGCUUAACACAUGCAAGUCGAACGGAAAGGCCCUGCUCUUGUGGGGUGCUCGAGUGGCGAACGGGUGAGUAACACGUGAGUAACCUGCCCUUGACUUUGGGAUAACUUCAGGAAACUGGGGCGAAUACCGGAUAGGAGCUCCUGCUGCAUGGUGGGGGUUGGAAAGUUUCGGCGGUUGGGGAUGGACUCGCGGCUUAUCAGCUUGUUGGUGGGGUAGUGGCUUACCAAGGCUUUGACGGGUAGCCGGCCUGAGAGGGUGACCGGCCACAUUGGGACUGAGGUACGGCCCAGACUCCUACGGGAGGCAGCAGUGGGGAAUCUUGCACAAUGGGCGGAAGCCUGAUGCAGCAACGCCGCGUGCGGGAUGACGGCCUUCGGGUUGUAAACCGCUUUCGCCUGUGACGAAGCGUGAGUGACGGUAAUGGGUAAAGAAGCACCGGCUAACUACGUG